GACCGUUCACCGAGCCUGAGGAUACCUGGACCAUGUGAUGGUGGCCCGUGGACGCUUAGAAAACGAUAGAACGUGGCCAAAGUUCGAUAUGAGUUGAAUUGUUUCGACCAUCACGGAUUUUCGCUUGGUCUGGAGUGAACUUUGGACAUUUUGUGGACAGGAGUGGGAGCUGCCGACCAUUUGCGGUAGCAGUUAAGCUAACAUUUUGUACAAGCUCAUAAAGACAUUUUCAGCCAUUCACUGACUUUAAUGCUCAAGUCUAGGCUCAGAGCAUCAGCCCAGCGCGUUCGACCGCGCAAUAAAUAGUGUUUGAUACUUUUUAAUAUUAAACACGUAUCUCAGACUAGCUUUUUAACUCCACGUCAGCCGUGGUAAAUCACAUUAGGUCAUUACUCAUUUUGCAAUCGGUUUUAAUGUUAUCCUUAUAUGAAGACAUGAUGUUAAAAUUGAAAAAACUGUUUAGUAAGUUAUUAUGCGGGAGCAGGCAGGUGUCCUCAUAGACAAGAAUACGUAGAUGCUUCAUUGGGUGCUGUAGAACGUAACAGCAUCACCGCCAUCUUGGAUGGGUCUCCUCACUCUCCAAAGUCAAUGCAGAGUGGGCUACUAUGCCCGUUUUUGUGCAGUUUAUGGUUACAACAAACGGCAUACAAUUAAACAGAUUACGUGGGAUUAUUAGUGACUUUUCUAGCCUGCCUGAUGGGAUUAGAUAUUUUAAUUUAUUUUAGUAAAGUAUAUUUUAAUUGUCAGACCUUUUGUCUGAUUUUGUGAAAUAGCUUGAUAAAGUUUGAUUUUUAGUUGGGUAAGCACCUUCCUCAGUAGAAAUUAAUGCAGUAGGGUUGUCAAGUUCUGUGGGUGUCCUCAUGCAGACACUUUCAUGAUGCGUGAGAGACAUACAUGCAAAAAUUAUAUGACAGUGAUGUAAAUUGCUAAUUAUCUAAUCUCAUUUUUACUUUUUUCAAUUGACACUGUUUAUUCGAUGAUGCUUUAUUAAUAUUGAAACAUUAUUGUAGUGAUGCAAAUUUGUGCUUUUACAAACUAUGGACAUAAUGAUAGUUUAAAACCAGUAAUGUGGAUAUAACAGAUCAGUGAAGGAAAAUAGUAGAACAGUAAGGCAAGUCAGGAAAAUUACAUUGGUUAUUUGAUUUAUUAUCUUCUCACAUGACAAAUUCACCCUAUAUAUUGCCUAUUUCAGUCAUGGAACAUUACAAAUUGGGGAAAUAGAGCUAUGUUAUUUAUGUUUACAAAUUGCAGGGACUGACUGUUUCCUCUGUGUCUCUUGUGUUUCUGGGGUGGAAUUUCAUGCAGUGCAGAUUUUGCAAAUUCACAAGCUCCAGUCAACAAACUCUUCUGAAACACUUCUGCCUUCAUCACGGACAAGGUGCACACUGGCAGACGAAAUGAAAAAGAAACAAAAGAACAUGGCAGUCAACCAGCAGAAGAUGGCUCUGAUCUUUUCCCUCAGGCGGAGAGAGGUUGUGGAGCGUCAACCUAUAGUAUCUGAGGUCCAGGAGAGAUGGCCUGCACUGUUUUCCUCUGAAGCGAUAUGUGAAGAAUUUCAUCGGAUCACGAGCAAAGACCUCCUGGGGAAUUUUAAUGCAUCCCUUGACACAUUUGCCUGACCUACUGAAACUGCACCGGUCUAAAAAGGGAUCUCUUGGUGAGGAGAUGGAAGACCUCCUGGAUAAACUUGAUGAACAGACGUCCGACAUUGUGUCCCACCGAAAGACUGCAGCACUGAGAGGCCUGCCCAUUUUCCUCAGAGAAGAUGCAACUCAGGUUUUCCUGAAGUGCUUGGUAAGUUUAUAUUAAAAAAAACAAUGCAAGUAAAACUGAUUUUUGAGAGAUGUCUUCAAGUAUGAUUUCAUCCAAAAUGAAAAUUUACAACUUUUCAGUGCAGUUCAGAUAAAUUUAUGGCAAGAAUUGCAGUUGUCUAUAGCCAGCUUCACACUAGGGACAUGAUUGUUUCUUUUAGGAACAUCACUGCUUCAAAAAUAAUCCAUUAUAAGCUACGCAGUUGAUCCAAACCAGCCCCGCGCAGGUAAAGAUAGGAUUGGGUUCUACCGCAAGUUCCUUCUGGGACAUGUCAAUUUCCGCAGGUAACAUAGGGCUAGAUAAGAAAUUGCACAUGGUUUGUUUAAAACGUCUAGUAAUUUUCAAAAUAAAAUUGUUGAUGAGAU
Molecule: non-coding RNA, 2177 nt
Organism: Nothobranchius furzeri (turquoise killifish)
Lineage: Eukaryota; Metazoa; Chordata; Actinopteri; Cyprinodontiformes; Nothobranchiidae
Source: RefSeq, a predicted model, not a curated record